AUGUGUGUUGGUCCUGACAUGGCAUUGGUGGCUUACUGAGAAGAAGAUGAUGGACUACGGAAUAUGGAUUCGAGUCAUUGCACGGCUUAACCUGCGGGCUCCAUUGUUUUAACUUGUUGAUGAAAGUACUGAAGAAAAGUCCCGACUUUAAGACCAGCCUCGAGAAUCUACAAAGCCACAAUUUGCAGCGUAGGGUUUCGC
RNAcentral lists this long non-coding RNA (201 nucleotides) under Populus trichocarpa (black cottonwood). Its description in RNAcentral is "long non-coding RNA (PTRI_LNC002574)". The record is from RNAcentral. Lineage: Eukaryota; Viridiplantae; Streptophyta; Magnoliopsida; Malpighiales; Salicaceae.